Molecule: non-coding RNA, 553 nt
Organism: Arvicola amphibius (Eurasian water vole)
Lineage: Eukaryota; Metazoa; Chordata; Mammalia; Rodentia; Cricetidae
Source: the annotation of a RefSeq genome assembly
AUGAGGAAAAAUGGGCUUGUUGCAAGCACAGUGAAACCACAUGUUCCUACUUUAUUCAUGUUUCUGUGGCUGCAGCUGGAUGGGGUGAGCCAUGGCCAGCAGGUGGAACAGCAUCCUUCUACCCUGGGAGUCCAGGAGGGAGCCAGCACUGUCAUCAACUGCACAUAUGUAGACACUGCCUCAUCCUACUUUCCUUGGUAUAAACAAGGACAUGGAAAGCAUCCUAAGCUCAUAAUAGACAGUGAUUCAAAUAUGGAAAGAAAGCAGGAUGAAAGACAAUUUUUUUGAUAAGAAAGCCAACCACUUCCUCAUGCACAUCACAGACACCCAGCCUGGAGACGCUGCCAUGUACUUCUAUGUUGCAAGGGCACACUGCUCUCCAGGCACCUGCAGCCUCUCCUCAAAUCUGUCAGAGGGCCUGGAGCCCCAUCAACAACCUGGAUCACAGGCCCUCCAGUGCAGCAUAUGCCAGUUGUUGUUUGAGGGAAAUCAGAAGAGGGCACUGCCUCUUCAGAUGUGGUUAACAUCUCAUCCAGGUGGUAGUUUCACAUGA